GGCGGCGGCAGCGGGGCGGGGGAGGCUCGGCCGGCGGCGGGACCCCGCUGCGGGCGGGGAGCGCGGCCGGCCCGGGCGGGGCAGCGCAGGCGAGCCGCCCGGUAUCCCCCCGAGGGGGCGGCGCAGCCCGGCACGCCGCUCCGGCGCUUCCGCCGUGCCCCGGCCCCCCGCGGCGGCGGGAGCGCAAAUCUCAGCGAUGGAGAGGGCUGCCCUCCCUGCGGGCUCCCCCCCGCUCCCCGGCGGCUCCGGCCCCGGCUCCGGCCCCGGCCCCGGCCCCGGCGCGGUGUGGCCGGAGCAGCGCAGCGGUGCCGCCGCUCUGUGCCCGAGCUGCGCCGAGAAAACAAAGCUCCCCCUGCCGAGAGCGGGCCUUUAACUCCCCGCCGCAUCAAGAAAAGAAGAAGGAAGCGGUGAAGUCUGGCUGAGGACGUUAACUUGUGCCUCUACUAAAGCGAGGUGGAAACAUCAACAGUGCUGGUUUACGGCUACAGUGUCUCCAGAGCCUUUCAAUCAGUUGUCUUCAAAGAAAGAGCUUCAUCUUCUUCCUUUCUUCACGGCACUUCCUGCACUGCUGCAGGCAGCCUCAGACAGCAACUUUCUAACAUGUGAACAGCAGUGGCCACUCACGCUCCUGAUAAGGGAUGGCAGAAACAGCACACAUGUCAGAACAGUUGUUAAGUAGUUGAUGUAUGUAUCGGCAGCAACCCAUUAAUAUUUAAGCUUUCCAGUGGCACAUAUCUACUCCUCUUUCUUUGAAUUGUAAAUUGAGUUAGUUAAUCCUUCAUUUACUACUUGUUUGCAUUUCCCUGGUUUGGUAUACAAGUGUUUAUACCUUCAAUUUUUUCAUCCCUGUGUACUCAUUUAGAGCCAAAUAUAUAUAGCAUCCCUUCACAUCAGCUGGGCCUCCAGCACCAUGCUUAGAUUUACACUUUACUGGCCUUAGUCACUUGAGUAAAAUAUUUGAGGGCUGGUGAUCAAGUUCCAGGAAGCAGAACGGUGCCGUUCAUCUGGGAGCACAUGGUCCAGCCCGCUCAGGAAGGCUCCGUAAGGCUCCAGUCCCACAAGGGCUCACCUGUGAGCUUUGUUUAAUUGCCGUGGGUAGGCAAUGGCACAGCUUGCAGCAGCAGAACUACACACAUGCAUCACUGUUGAUAGGACUGAGGCUUUAAACUGGGGAUUUGGACAAUAAACUAUGAAAAUUACCAGA
Phalacrocorax carbo (great cormorant) is the source of this 1204-nucleotide non-coding RNA. The record is from RefSeq and is a predicted model, not a curated record. NCBI's taxonomy places the organism in Eukaryota, Metazoa, Chordata, Aves, Suliformes, Phalacrocoracidae.